CCUACGGGUGGCAGCAGUGAGGAAUCUUGGUCAAUGGACGCAAGUCUGACCCAGCAAUGCCGCGUGCAGGAAGAAGGCCCUAUGAGUUGAAAACUGCUUUUGUACGAGGGUAAACGCAGAUAAGUAUCUCUGUCUGAAAGUAUCGUACGAAUAAGGAUAGGCUAACUCCGUGCCAGCAGCGGCGGUAAUACGUAGGAUUAAAGCGUUAUCCGGAUUUAUUGGGUUUAAAGUGUGCGUAGGCGGUCGGAUAAGUUAGGGGUGAAAUCCCGAGGCUCAACUUCGGAAUGGCCUCUGAUACUGUGCGGCUAGAGAGUAGUUGCGGUAGGCGGAAUGUAUGGUGUAGCGGUGAAAUGCUUAGAGAUCAUACAGAACACCGAUUGCGAAGGCAGCUUACCAAGCUACUUCUGACGUUGAGGCACGAAAGCGUGGGGAGCAAACAGGAUUAGAUACCCGAGUAGUC
This 460-nucleotide ribosomal RNA is filed under the name uncultured bacterium. Its description in RNAcentral is "partial 16S ribosomal RNA". It matches the Rfam family "Bacterial small subunit ribosomal RNA", at positions 338 to 795 of the family's 1533-position model. The record is from RNAcentral.